Molecule: long non-coding RNA, 1351 nt
Filed under: Homo sapiens (human)
Lineage: Eukaryota; Metazoa; Chordata; Mammalia; Primates; Hominidae
Description: HSALNT0144327
Source: RNAcentral
GCACGCCACGUCUGAGAGCAAAGCCAACCUGCAGGAAAGGAGGGCUAAGGGACAGAGACAAAGGUGGAAACCAUUUCAUUGCUGCUGGGCUCCUGGGGCCUAGAUCAUUGUCUGGUAAGCUCUCAAUAAAUAGGCUUGGAAUAAAUGAACAGACAAUUGAAAAUGGACACAGUAAAAAGAACAAGAAGCUUGGCAUUCAAAUGACAUCAGGUUCAAAUCCUGGGUCUGUCAUAACUCUUUGGCCUUGGGGCAAAUUAUUUAACCAUUCUGAGCCCCAUUUCCUCAUCUGGUAAACAGAGAUAAAAAUAACCGCUACUUUGAAGACUUACUCUCAGGACCAAAUAGGAUCAUAGCUGUGACAAGUGUUUUGUGACCACAGACAGCUCCAGCUCUGUGCCGUUACUAGGAUCCUGGGCUGAUGAGAAACCAUCUCCAGCUAAGAGCUGGUUUCCAGAAAUCACCGGGCAUAAGGCCACCCUGAUGUCUCUGUUUUAGAUUGUGAUUGACCACUGAGUAGCUGCCCAAGUUGAGACGCUCUGCUCAGCCCCCAGCCUGACAGGACAAUUGGCCCACACUGCCCCGGAGGCUGCUGGGCAGGAGCUGGUAAUUGACAGAGAACUCAUUAUCGAAGGACAGAGCCUCUGAGCAUGCUGGGAAUUGGAACUGACAGAGCCCAAGGGCCUGGGAAUCGGAUCACUGGGAAGAGACAGCCCAAGUGUUGUGUGUCCUGGACGUACAGAGGAAAAUAAAGUUUCAGAAAUUGCUCGGCACUAAAAGAGAGCUCUGGUAUUGAAAGCCAUCUCUGAUCCGCUCUCCAUGUGGCUUUGGGCAUGCAAUUGACCUCUGUGAGCUUCAGUUUUGUCACCUCCAAAAUAGAGAUGACAAUAAAUCUUUUUCGUGGAGUAAGAAAUAAGGAUGCUGUAACUAUGACAUUGAUGAUCAUCAUUAUAACAACUAGCAGCUAUUUCACAUCCUCCAGAUGCCAGAGACCAUUUGAAGAGUGCUAAAAAUGGGCCAGGCACAGAGGCUCACACCCGUAAUCCCAGCGUUUUGGGAGGCCCAGGCAGGAGGGUCGCUUGAGCCCAGGAGUUUGAGAAUAGCCUGGGCAACAUAGUGAUAACCCUCCAUCACUACAAAAAAUCAGAAGGGUGUGGUGGUGCACACCUGUAGUCCCAGCUACAAGGGAGGCUGAAGUGGGAAGAUCGCUUGAGCCCAGGAGUUCAAGGUUGCAUGAAGGAGUUCAAGGUUGCCAUGAUCACACCACUGCACUCCCGCCUGGGCUACAAAGCAAGAUCCUCUCUCAUAUAAAAUAAAAUAAAAAUAAUAUUAAAAUGCAUUAACUGUGUGAUCC